RNAcentral lists this ribosomal RNA (501 nucleotides) under uncultured bacterium. Its description in RNAcentral is "bacterial SSU rRNA". It matches the Rfam family "Bacterial small subunit ribosomal RNA", at positions 899 to 1397 of the family's 1533-position model. The record is from RNAcentral.
ACUCAAAUGAAUUGACGGGGGCCCGCACAAGCGGUGGAGCAUGUGGUUUAAUUCGACGCAACGCGAAAAACCUUACCUGGGUUUGACAUGCCGAGUACCCGAUGGAAACAUUGGGGUGCCCCGUAAGGGGAACUUGGACACAGGUGCUGCAUGGCUGUCGUCAGCUCGUGCCGUGAGGUGUUGGGUUAAGUCCCGCAACGAGCGCAACCCUCACCCUUAGUUGCCAUCAUUAAGUUGGGCACCCUAAGGGAACUGCCGCAGUUAAUGCGGAGGAAGGUGGGGAUGACGUCAAGUCCUCAUGGCCCUUAUAUCCAGGGCUACACACGUGCUACAAUGGACGGUACAAAGGGUCGCGAACCUGUAAGGGGGAGCUAACCCCAGAAAACCGCUCUCAGUUCGGAUUGGAGUCUGCAACCCGACUCCAUGAAGUUGGAAUCGCUAGUAAUCGCGGAUCAGAACGCCGCGGUGAAUACGUUCCCGGGCCUUGUACACACCGCCCGU